UCCGGUUUGUCACCGGCAGUCUCCUAUGAGUCCCCAACUUAAUGCUGGCAACAUAGGACGGGGGUUGCGCUCGUUGCGGGACUUAACCCAACAUCUCACGGCACGAGCUGACGACAACCAUGCACCACCUGUGCACGGCCCCGAAGGACACCGUAUCUCUACGGCUUUUCCGUGCAUUUCAAGCCCUGGUAAGGUUCUUCGCGUCGCGUCGAAUUAAGCCACAUGCUCCGCCGCUUGUGCGGGCCCCCGUCAAUUCCUUUGAGUUUUAGCCUUGCGGCCGUAAUCCCCAGGCGGGGCGCUUAAUGCGUUAGCUGCGGCGCCGGGGGAGUCGACACCCCCAACACCUAGUGCCCAUCGUUUACGGCGUGGACUAC
Molecule: unclassified non-coding RNA, 374 nt
Filed under: uncultured Actinomycetes bacterium
Lineage: Bacteria; Bacillati; Actinomycetota; Actinomycetes
Description: uncultured actinobacterium contains 16S-23S intergenic spacer region
Source: RNAcentral